This 389-nucleotide ribosomal RNA is filed under the name uncultured bacterium. Its description in RNAcentral is "bacterial SSU rRNA". It matches the Rfam family "Bacterial small subunit ribosomal RNA", at positions 28 to 417 of the family's 1533-position model. The record is from RNAcentral.
GACGAACGCUGGCGGCGUGCUUAACACAUGCAAGUCGAGCGGUAAGGCCCUUUCGGGGGGUACACGAGCGGCGAACGGGUGAGUAACACGUGGGUGACCUGCCCUCAGCUCUGGGAUAAGCCUGGGAAACCGGGUCUAAUACCGGAUAUGACUCCAUGACGCAUGUUGUGGGGUGGAAAGCCUUGUGCGGCUGAGGAUGGGCCCGCGGCCUAUCAGCUUGUUGGUGGGGNGAUGGCCUACCAAGGCGACGACGGGUAGCCGGCCUGAGAGGGCGACCGGCCACACUGGGACUGAGACACGGCCCAGACUCCUACGGGAGGCAGCAGUGGGGAAUCUUGCGCAAUGGGCGAAAGCCUGACGCAGCGACGCCGCGUGAGGGAUGACGGCCU